This 429-nucleotide ribosomal RNA is filed under the name Pseudomonadota bacterium. RNAcentral's name for it is "Proteobacteria bacterium partial 16S ribosomal RNA". It matches the Rfam family "Bacterial small subunit ribosomal RNA", at positions 355 to 776 of the family's 1533-position model. The record is from RNAcentral. Lineage: Bacteria; Pseudomonadati; Pseudomonadota.
UGGGGAAUAUUGGACAAUGGGCGAAAGCCUGAUCCAGCCAUGCCGCGUGUGUGAAGAAGGUCUUCGGAUUGUAAAGCACUUUCAGUUGGGAGGAAGGGCAGUAAGCGAAUACCUUGCUGUUUUGACGUUACCGACAGAAUAAGCACCGGCUAACUCUGUGCCAGCAGCCGCGGUAAUACAGAGGGUGCAAGCGUUAAUCGGAAUUACUGGGCGUAAAGCGCGCGUAGGUGGUUCGUUAAGUUGAAUGUGAAAGCCCCGGGCUCAAACUGGGAACUGCAUCCAAAACUGGCGAGCUAGAGUAGGGCAGAGGGUGGUGGAAUUUCCUGUGGAGCGGUGAAAUGCGUAGAUAUAGGAAGGAACACCAGUGGCGAAGGCGACCACCUGGGCUCAUACUGACACUGAGGUGCGAAAGCGUGGGGAGCAAACAGG